This 653-nucleotide ribosomal RNA is filed under the name Gibbula albida. Its description in RNAcentral is "partial 12S ribosomal RNA". The record is from RNAcentral. RNAcentral also lists the same sequence under 1 other name. Lineage: Eukaryota; Metazoa; Mollusca; Gastropoda; Trochida; Trochidae.
GACAAACAGGUCAAGUUAAGUUUAAUUUGGUAAAAAAGGAAGUUAAAUUAAAAUGUAUAAAGAAGAUUAAUUUACUAUGAAGGAGUGGAAUCCGGACAUAGUAAGUUUUACUAGUACUUCUUUUUUUUGAUGCUUCGAAAACUAGCUGAAAGACCGGGAUUAGAUACCCCGUUAUUUUUUUUGUAAAUUUUGAUUGUUAUUAGUUUACCUGAGUAUUACGGGUUGUAAUAUAUUUAUAGUUGUAUAGUUUAAUUAUAGUGUAUUUAAAUACUUAAAACUCAAAAAACUUGGCGGUGCCUUAUUUCCUUCCAGGGGAACCUGUCCUGUAAUCGAUGAUCCGCGAUUAAUCUUACUUUUUUUUGAAUUUAUGUAUGUAGUAUUAUCAGUUUGUAUACCGUCGUCGUCAGAUUACCUUUAAGAGUUAAAAAGUUGUCUUAUAAAUUAAGAAUUAUUUAUAUGUUUGUUAAAACGUAUAUUAAAUUUAAUUUUUGAUGUCAGAUCAAGGUGCAGCUUAUAAAAAAGUAGAGAUGGGUUACAAUGUAAAUUUUAUAUUAUGGAUACUGACUUGAAAUAGUCGGGUGAAAGUGGACUUGGAAGUAAUGAUUUGUAAAUUAAAUUAGUAAGUUUGUGUGAAUAAAGGUACUAAGGCGCGC